ACGGAACGGGAGGAGGAGGAAUAAAAAAAAAACUACGCAUGUGUAAAUGCGUAGUAAAUUUUUCAAUGGUGGUGAUCAAUAGGAAAAGACGAAGGAUGCUGCAGAUUCUGGUGUAAUUUUUGGAAUGUGACUACCGUUAUUGGUUAAGUGUGGGAGUAAUUUCUGGAGCUGAACAUGAUCAAGAUUUUAAAAAUUCAAUUAGACCUUGGAAAUGGCCUUGGACUUCUGACUCCGUUCAGGAUUGGUUAGAAAUUCAGUUGAAGCCUGAGUCGAAAGAUUGAAGAUACCAUAAUUUGAAUUAAAUGGCUAUUCAAAAAGGUUCUCUGAAAUUCAUUGGUCCUGCUAGGGACGAACCACAGAAAAACUAUGAUGCCAAAGAAAAUUCAUGCUCAAAAUAAUGAAUAAAAAUACAAGGCAUUUUACCAGUGAAGACUCUGGUAAGCUCCGGUUAAAGAACCCUGUGGCAAAUGCAAGGACUAAAACCACCAAAGCUUUCAGACCGAAGUCGUAGAUCUUUGGCGAGAAGUACCCCUUGACAUUUCCACGAAAUAAGGUUCUUUGGAAUUCAAUUGCCCCUGAGAAGGACGAACCAUUGGGAAUAAACCUUCAGAUGCCAACCAAAAGAAUUCGUGGG
Long non-coding RNA from Calliphora vicina (urban bluebottle blowfly), 634 nucleotides. RefSeq lists it as uncharacterized. The record is from RefSeq and is a predicted model, not a curated record. The transcript is spliced from 7 exons. NCBI's taxonomy places the organism in Eukaryota, Metazoa, Arthropoda, Insecta, Diptera, Calliphoridae.